CAUUGCAAUAAAGCAAGUAUCACAAAAAAGCAAAGUCAGACAAAUAUUUUGGUUUCCCAGUGCAUAUCAAACUUAUGUUUCUGCUGAGACCGUGUCCACCCUUCGAGCACAGAGCCUCGCCCUCGCCGCUCCACCUCCCAUCCACACCUGCCGCCAGCUCACCACGGAUGAUGAUAUCACCAUGCUUGUUGACAACGGCUCCAGCAUGUGCAAGGCCGGCUUUGCAAGUGACAAUGCCCAUCCUGGGCCACCUUCCCCUCUAUCGUGGGGCACCCCAGGCACCAGGGUGUGAUUGUGGGCAUGGGUCAGAAGGACUCACGUGGGCGAUGAGGCCCAGAGCAAGAGAGGCAUCCUGACCCUGAAGUACACCAUUCGAGCAGGACAUCGUCACCACCUGGGACGACAUGGAGAAGAUCUGGCACCACACCUUCUACAACGAGCUGUGUGUGGCUGCCAAGGAGCACCCCAUGCUGCUGACCAAGGCCCCCUGAACCCUAAGGCCAACCGCAAGAAGAUGACCCAGAUCAUGUUUGAGAUCUUCAACACACCAGUCAUGUACGUAGCCAUCCAGGCCGUGCUGCCCCUGUACACCUCUGGCCAUACCAUUGACAUCGUGAUGGACUCCAGUAACGGGGUCACCCACACUGUGCCCAUCUACAAGGAGUAUGCCCUCCCCUACGCCAUCCUGCAUGUGGACCUGGCUGGCCCGGACCUGAUUGACUACCUUAUGAAGAUCCUCACCUAGCACAGCUACAUCUUCACCGCCACAGCCAAGUGAGAAAUGGUGCAUGACAUCAAGGAGAGGCUGUGCUAUGUCACCCUGGACUUCGAGCAGGAGAGGGCCAUGGUGGCCUCCAGCUCCUCCCUGGAGAUAGCUACAAGCUGCCCAAUAGCCAGGUCAUCACCAUCGGCAACAAGCAGUUCCGCUGCCCCGAGGUGCUCUUCCAGCCUUCCUUCCUGGGCAUGGAAUCCUGUGGCAUCCAUGAAACUACCUUCAACUCCAUCAUGAAGUGUGAUGUGGACAUUCUCAAGGACCUGUAUGCCAACACAGUGCUGUCUGGCGGCACCACCAUGUACCCUGGCAUCGCUGAUAGGAUGCAGAAGAUCACCGCCCUGGCGCCCAGCAUGAUGUAGAUCAAGAGUAUUGCUCCUGCCAAGCGCAGGUACUCCAUGUGAAUCGGCAGCUCCGUCCUGGCCCAGCUGUCCACCGUCCGGCAGAUGUGGCUCAGGAAGCAGGAAUACAACAAGUCAGGCACCUCCAUCGUCCACCGCAAAUGCUUCUAGGUAGACUGUGAUGUAGUUGCGUUACACCCUUUCUUGACAAAACCUAACUUGCGCAGAAAACAAGAUGUGCAGAAAACAAGAUGAGAUUGGCAUGACUUUUUUUAUUUUGUUUUGUUUUGUUUGGCUUGACUCAGGAUUUAAAAACUGGAAUGGUGAAGGUGACAGCAGUUGGUUGGAGCAAGCAUCCCCCAAAGUUCUACAAUGUGGCGAGAGACUUUGAUUGUACAUGUUUUUUAAUAGUCAUUCCAAAUAUGGUGAGAUGCAUUGUUACAGGAAGUCCCUUGCCCUCCUAAAAGCCACCCCACUUCUCUCUAAGGAGAAUGGCCCAAUCCUCUCCCAUGUCCACACAGGGGAGGUGAUAGCACUGCUUUCGUGUAAAUUAUGUAAUGCAACAUUUUUUAAAUCUUCGCCUUAAUACUUCGUUAUUUUGUUUUAUUUUGAAUGCUCGGCCUUCGUGGCCCUCCUUUUUUGUCCCCCAACUUGAGAUGUAUGAAGGCUUUUGGUCUCCCUGGGAGUGGGUGGAGGUAGCCAGGGCAUACCCAUACACUGACUUGAGACCAGUUGAAUAAAAGUGCAUGCCUUAAAAAAAAACACUUAUGUUUCCACUAUAUUGUAGUCUGUUCAGUGUGCAGUAGCAUAUGUCUUAAAAAACAACACACAUACCUUCCUUAAAAAAUACUU
Molecule: RNA transcript, 1965 nt
Organism: Cercocebus atys (sooty mangabey)
Lineage: Eukaryota; Metazoa; Chordata; Mammalia; Primates; Cercopithecidae
Gene name: actin, cytoplasmic 2-like
Exons: 1
Source: RefSeq, a predicted model, not a curated record